AUUUUUGAAGCCUUCUACAAAAAAGAUUUAGCAAAACGUCUCUUACUUGGUAAGAGUGCUUCAAUUGAUGCAGAAAAGUCUAUGCUAUUUAAACUUAAACAAGUACAUGCAGAACCAGAAUGUACCAGGAAACAUUGAAUUAACUGUGAACAUUCUGACAACAAGUUUUUGGCCAACAUAUGUCCCUAAGGAGAUACAGUUACCUCCAGAGAUGGAAAGACUUAAGGAAAAUUUCAGAAAUUUCUACUUAAGCAAGCACAGAGGCUGGAAACUUCAAUGGCAGUCAACUCUUGGACACUGUGUCCUUAGAGCUGAAUUUA
Long non-coding RNA from Camelus dromedarius (Arabian camel), 320 nucleotides. RefSeq lists it as uncharacterized. The transcript has 3 exons. Lineage: Eukaryota; Metazoa; Chordata; Mammalia; Artiodactyla; Camelidae. The record is from RefSeq and is a predicted model, not a curated record.